AUUGAACGCUGGCGGCAGGCUUAACACAUGCAAGUCGAGCGAGCGGCGGACGGGUGAGUAAUGUCUGGGAAACUGCCUGAUGGAGGGGGAUAACUACUGGACACGGUAGCUAAUACCGCAUACCCUCAGAUGUGCCCAGAUGGGAUUAGCUAGGAGGUGGGGUAAUGGCUCACCUAGGCUACGAUCCCUAGCUGGUCUGAGAGGAUGUCCAGCGAAACGGGAACUGAGAAACGGUACAGACUCCGACGGGAGGCAGCAGUGGGGAAUAUUGCACAAUGGGCGAAAGCCUGAUGCAGCCAUGCCGCGUGUGUGAAGAAGGCCUUCGGGGUGUAAAGCACUGUCAGCGAGGAGGCGUUACUCGCAGAAGAAGCACCGGCUAACUCCGUGCCAGCAGCCGCGGUAAUUC
RNAcentral lists this ribosomal RNA (406 nucleotides) under uncultured bacterium. RNAcentral's name for it is "partial 16S ribosomal RNA". It matches the Rfam family "Bacterial small subunit ribosomal RNA", at positions 30 to 526 of the family's 1533-position model. The record is from RNAcentral.